GGUGAACGCUGGCGGUAGGCCUAACACAUGCAAGUCGAACGGCAGCACAGUAAGAGCUUGCUCUUACGGGUGGCGAGUGGCGGACGGGUGAGGAAUACAUCGGAAUCUACUUUUUCGUGGGGGAUAACGUAGGGAAACUUACGCUAAUACCGCAUACGACCUACGGUUGAAAGCAGGGGAUCUUCGGACCUUGCACGAUUGAAUGAGCCGAUGUCGGAUUAGCUAGUUGGCGGGGUAAAGGCCCACCAAGGCGACGAUCCGUAGCUGGUCUGAGAGGAUGAUCAGCCACACUGGAACUGAGACACGGUCCAGACUCCUACGGGAGGCAGCAGUGGGGAAUAUUGGACAAUGGGCGCAAGCCUGAUCCAGCCAUACCGCGUGGGUGAAGAAGGCCUUCGGGUUGUAAAGCCCUUUUGUUGGGAAAGAAAAGCAGCAGGUUAAUACCCCGCUGUUCUGACGGUACCCAAAGAAUAAGCACCGGCUAACUUCGUG
This 492-nucleotide ribosomal RNA is filed under the name uncultured bacterium. RNAcentral describes it as "partial 16S ribosomal RNA". It matches the Rfam family "Bacterial small subunit ribosomal RNA", at positions 28 to 507 of the family's 1533-position model. The record is from RNAcentral.